GACGAACGCUGGCGGCGUGCUUAACACAUGCAAGUCGAACGGAAAGGCCCUGCUUUUGUGGGGUGCUCGAGUGGCGAACGGGUGAGUAGCACGUGAGUAACCUGACCUUGACUUUGGGAUAACUUCAGGAAACUGGGGCUAAUACCGGAUAGGAGCUCCUGCUGCAUGGUGGGGGUUGGAAAGUUUCGGCGGUUGGGGAUGGACUCGCGGCUUAUCAGCUUGUUGGUGGGGUAGUGGCUUACCAAGGCUUUGACGGGUAGCCGGCCUGAGAGGGUGACCGGCCACAUUGGGACUGCGAUACGGCCCAGACUCCUACGGGAGGCAGCAGUGGGGAAUAUUGCACAAUGGGCGGAAGCCUGAUGCAGCAACGCCGCGUGCGGGAUGACGGCCUGCGGGUUGUAAACCGCUUUCGCCUGUGACGAAGCGUGAGUGACGGUAAUGGGUAAAGAAGCACCGGCUAACUACGUG
RNAcentral lists this ribosomal RNA (468 nucleotides) under uncultured bacterium. RNAcentral describes it as "partial 16S ribosomal RNA". It matches the Rfam family "Bacterial small subunit ribosomal RNA", at positions 28 to 507 of the family's 1533-position model. The record is from RNAcentral.